This 343-nucleotide long non-coding RNA is filed under the name Hordeum vulgare. RNAcentral's name for it is "long non-coding RNA (HVUL_LNC000947)". Lineage: Eukaryota; Viridiplantae; Streptophyta; Magnoliopsida; Poales; Poaceae. The record is from RNAcentral.
UGUGUGGGGGGGAGACGACACUUGAGCUAAGUCAGAUGAGUUGGCAUGAUGAUUGUGUUGGAAAUAUGCCCUAGAGGCAAUAAUAAAUUGGUUAUUAUUGUAUUUCCUAGUUCAUGAUAAUUGUCUAUUAUUCAUGCUAUAAUUGUAUUAACCGGAAACUGUAAUACAUGUGUGAAUAUAUAGAUCACAAUGUGUCCCUAGUAAGCCUCUAGUUGGCUAGCUCAUUGAUCACUAGAUGAUCAUGGUUUCCUGAUCAUGGACAUUGGAUGUCAUUGAUAACGGGAUCACAUCAUUAGGAGAAUGAUGUGAUGGACAAGACCCAAUCCUAAGCAUAGCACUAGAU